CCUACGGGUGGCAGCAGUGGGGAAUAUUGGACAAUGGGGGCAACCCUGAUCCAGCCAUGCCGCGUGUGUGAAGAAGGUCCUCGGGUUGUAAAGCACUUUCAGUGAGGAAGAACGCCUGGUGGUUAAUACCCAUCAGGAAAGACAUCACUCACAGAAGAAGCACCGGCUAACUCCGUGCCAGCAGCCGCGGUAAUACGGAGGGUGCGAGCGUUAAUCGGAAUUACUGGGCGUAAAGCGCGCGUAGGUGGCUUGAUAAGCCGGUUGUGAAAGCCCCGGGCUCAACCUGGGAACGGCAUCCGGAACUGUCAAGCUAGAGUGCAGGAGAGGAAGGUAGAAUUCCCGGUGUAGCGGUGAAAUGCGUAGAGAUCGGGAGGAAUACCAGUGGCGAAGGCGGCCUUCUGGACUGACACUGACACUGAGGUGCGAAAGCGUGGGUAGCAAACAGGAUUAGAUACCCUAGUAGUC
This 465-nucleotide ribosomal RNA is filed under the name Vreelandella stevensii. RNAcentral describes it as "partial 16S ribosomal RNA". It matches the Rfam family "Bacterial small subunit ribosomal RNA", at positions 338 to 795 of the family's 1533-position model. Lineage: Bacteria; Pseudomonadati; Pseudomonadota; Gammaproteobacteria; Oceanospirillales; Halomonadaceae. The record is from RNAcentral.